This is an RNA transcript of Vigna radiata var. radiata (mung bean), 1525 nucleotides long. It is a transcript of the gene named ABC transporter I family member 6, chloroplastic, with no coding region annotated. NCBI's taxonomy places the organism in Eukaryota, Viridiplantae, Streptophyta, Magnoliopsida, Fabales, Fabaceae. The record is from RefSeq and is a predicted model, not a curated record. The transcript has 6 exons.
AAGAUAGUUGGAGGAAUGAGUAGGCAGAAAAAACAAGCACUCUGGUAAAAGGGAUUGCGGACUUUGAUUUUCUGCUUUCGAGUGCAGCCAUGGCUUUAUCUCUACCUACUCAUUCUUCUCGCUCCCUCCUCCCUCUUCCACCAUCCACCAAACCCACUUUCCCCACCCUCCGCCGCCUCAACCACCGCCUUUCACUCGUCACUGCUUCCAUUCCCCUGCUCCAAGUCAAUGACCUUAGAGCCAAGAUCGUCGAGUCCAACGUCCAGAUUCUCCACGGCGUUAACCUCACCGUUAACCAAGGAGAGGUCCACGCCAUCAUGGGAAAAAAUGGCUCUGGAAAAAGUACUUUCGCCAAGGUUCUAGUGGGGCACCCCGAUUAUGAAGUUACUGGAGGCAGUGUUGUAUUCAAAGGGGAGAAUUUGCUUGAAAUGGAACCCGAAGAAAGGUCUCUUUCGGGUCUCUUCAUGAGUUUCCAGUCCCCCGUUGAAAUUCCUGGUGUUUCCAAUGAUGAGUUUCUUAGAAUGGCCUACAAUGCUCGAAGGAAAAAGCUUGGUCUACCUGAGCUUGGACCACUCGAGUGUAUUGAAUACCUGAUGAAAAAGCUUAAGCUUGUUAAUAUGAAGACUGAUUUUCUCAAUAGGAAUGUGAAUGAAGGGUUUAGUGGCGGUGAACGCAAACGCAAUGAAAUCUUGCAGCUUGCAGUUUUGGGGGCGGAUUUGGCUAUUUUGGAUGAGAUUGACUCUGGGUUGGAUGUUGAUGCGCUUAAGGAUGUUGCCAGUGCCGUUAAUCAGAUUCUUACCCCACAAAAUUCUUUGAUGAUGAUAACUCAUUAUAGACGGAUUCUGGAUCUUUUGAAACCUACACAUGUCCAUGUUAUGGACAAAGGGAAAAUUGCAAGAUCAGGUGACAUAUCGAUGGUAGAAACUAUUGAGGCAGAGGGAUAUGAAACUGUCUCCACUUCAACAUAAUACAGUGUGUAUCGAUAUGCCAUUCUCGGUAAGAUAAGAAAAUCUUUAAAUGUUGAAUUUCAGUGCAUCUACAUUAGUCUCAAUCAAAUAUCAUCAGUUCUUGUAAGGAGCAGAAAAAUAUUUUCAACGCAGAUGUGAGUUCGGGUGCACUACCAGAUAUGUAUGCAGUUGCAGUAAUGUUUUGAUUGCUCCUUUCAUCUUUCUAGUAUCCAUUUUCAAAAUGAGGAAGCUUCUUGACUUGACUUGGGGACAUAUUUCCGUAGGCUUUGGUAUAGAAAUUUCGAAACUAUUGAAUGGGAGGUUUUGAAGUUAUGCUUUCGCUUUUGUUUUAGAUUUGAGCACUUUUGAAAUGUUAAAUACCUACUUUAGGAUCACACAGCCAAUAAGGAUUCUAACAUAUGUCAAUCAACGUUAAAUGUUAGCCAAAUUUUAGUUCCGGUAUUUGCAGUUUACCUGUUUUCUUUUUGGUGGGCAUAUUAAAGAACUUAAAUUAUUGACAAGUUUCAUCAACAUGCCCUUUUUAAAAGCUGGAAUAAAACAGGGUAAAAUGUAGCGUA